GGCUGGUCUGAGUACAGUGGUGUAUACAGCUAAUUGAUAACAACCAGUUACACAGAUUUCUUUGUUCCUUUUCCACUCCCACUGCUUCACUUGACUAGCCUUAA
Microcebus murinus (gray mouse lemur) is the source of this 104-nucleotide unclassified non-coding RNA. It matches the Rfam family "Y RNA". Rfam says of the family: Y RNAs are components of the Ro ribonucleoprotein particle (Ro RNP), in association with Ro60 and La proteins. The Y RNAs and Ro60 and La proteins are well conserved, but the function of the Ro RNP is not known. In humans the RNA component can be one of four small RNAs -- hY1, hY3, hY4 and hY5. The record is from Ensembl. NCBI's taxonomy places the organism in Eukaryota, Metazoa, Chordata, Mammalia, Primates, Cheirogaleidae.